AUAGAACGCUGACGACACGCUUAUCACAAGAAAGUCGAGCAGCGCGGCGGACGGGCGAGUCAUGCCUAGGAAUCUGCCUGGUCGUGGGGGAUAACGUCCGGACACGGGCCCUAAUACCGCAUCCUAUCAGAUGAGCCGAGGUCGGAUUAGCUAGUUGGUGGGGUAAAGGCCUACCAAGGCGACGAUCCGUAACUGGUCUGAGAGGAUGAUCAGUCACACUGGAACUGAUAUAUUGUCCAGACUCCUACGGGAGGCAGCAGUGUGGAAUAAUGGACUAUGGUCGGAAGCCUGAGCCAGGCAUACGGCGUGUAGGAUGAAGGUAUGCGGAAUAUAGAUCAUUCAAAAUUGUGAGGCGUUACCACCAGAAUAACCACCGGCUAUCUCCGUGCCAGCAGCGCGGUAAUAC
This 406-nucleotide ribosomal RNA is filed under the name uncultured bacterium. RNAcentral describes it as "partial 16S ribosomal RNA". It matches the Rfam family "Bacterial small subunit ribosomal RNA", at positions 31 to 526 of the family's 1533-position model. The record is from RNAcentral.